AUUGAACGCUGGCGGCAGGCCUAACACAUGCAAGUCGAGCGGAUGACGGGAGCUUGCUCCUGGAUUCAGCGGCGGACGGGUGAGUAAUGCCUAGGAAUCUGCCUGGUAGUGGGGGAUAACGUCCGGAAACGGGCGCUAAUACCGCAUACGUCCUGAGGGAGAAAGUGGGGGAUCUUCGGACCUCACGCUAUCAGAUGAGCCUAGGUCGGAUUAGCUAGUUGGUGGGGUAAAGGCCUACCAAGGCGACGAUCCGUAACUGGUCUGAGAGGAUGAUCAGUCACACUGGAACUGAGACACGGUCCAGACUCCUACGGGAGGCAGCAGUGGGGAAUAUUGGACAAAGGGCGAAAGCCUGAUCCAGCCAUGCCGCGUGUGUGAAGAAGGUCUUCGGAUUGUAAAGCACUUUAAGUUGGGAGGAAGGGCAGUAAGUUAAUACCUUGCUGUUUUGACGUUACCAACAGAAUAAGCACCGGCUAACUUCGUG
This 484-nucleotide ribosomal RNA is filed under the name uncultured bacterium. RNAcentral's name for it is "partial 16S ribosomal RNA". It matches the Rfam family "Bacterial small subunit ribosomal RNA", at positions 30 to 507 of the family's 1533-position model. The record is from RNAcentral.